This is a non-coding RNA of Marmota flaviventris (yellow-bellied marmot), 533 nucleotides long. The record is from RefSeq and is a predicted model, not a curated record. Lineage: Eukaryota; Metazoa; Chordata; Mammalia; Rodentia; Sciuridae.
GUGAAACGCAAAUUAUUCCUUUUGCAUUUUUGUUGAUACUUCAAAUUGCAGGAUGGAAGCAGCACGAAUUGUUCUGAUCAGGGAGCAAUAACAUACCAUGACCCCCACAGCUCCCCAACAGUCCGAGGGGGGCACACAGUCUCAGCAGCUAAGGCCCCCUGGCCCCUGAGAGCCACAUGCCUCACAUUUCCCCAGUUCCAGCCUCCUUUCAAAGGCCCUUUAUUAAACCACCAACUAUUUGCUGUCGAGACAUUUAGGAUGAAAUCAUUGUGUUAAACAAAUAAACGCAGCUUCGUCCAGAUUUCUGCUCUGGGAGCAGAGUAAGAAAAUAAUUUCUGUCUGCUUGCCACAAAAGCGGCUGGAAAGGCCCAAAGAAAAAUAUUAUUUUUACUCCAUUGUGUGAAAUAUUGUCCUGGAGGAUCUGACGGGCUGAGCGUUUGAAGAGUUUGUGCUGGCAGGUUUCAAGGGUCCCCCGGGUCGGCCCCCUGGGAUUGUUUUCUGCAUUAAUAAACUUAGCAUGAUGUGUGUUAAAA